GCCCGGAUGUAGAGAAGCUGAGAAGUGUUCACACCAUAAAAUGUUGCAAACUAGGCGUUAUACGACUUGGCAGCUUGUUAGAUGGCCUAUCCUUUUUGGUGGUUUAUUGACCAGCUUUGUGGCUAUGUUCAGAAAUAGGCAUUCAUACUUCCGUGAAGAUAUCGAAAAACUUCGCCAGAAAAACUGGGAGAAAAGUCGUAAGACGCAAGAAGUCAUGGACAAAGUAAAACUGGAUGCAAACAUUGAGAUAAAGAGGAAACAGUUAGAAAAGGCAAAUUCAUCUUGAUCGUCGGUUAUCUGCUGUUGGUGGUGCUGAAGUUUUCUGUUUUCUUGCCGUGAUCAUGAUGUAAUGGAACUGACCAAGAACUGAGGAAGAAUGAUUUACAUGUACUCCGCUUAAGGAGACAGGACUUGUGUCCAUCAAAUGUGUCCUGAAGUACAAUACAGUUUUGUUGACAUUGACUAACUUUAAAAUGUCGGUCUAUGGGUUGGAAUAUUUUUGAUUGAAUUGUGUGUGAAGUGCGUUGUAAAUAAAGGUGCUUUUUAAAAACACUA
Molecule: long non-coding RNA, 555 nt
Organism: Lineus longissimus
Lineage: Eukaryota; Metazoa; Nemertea; Pilidiophora; Heteronemertea; Lineidae
Exons: 2
Source: RefSeq, a predicted model, not a curated record